Long non-coding RNA from Felis catus (domestic cat), 904 nucleotides. RefSeq lists it as uncharacterized. The record is from RefSeq and is a predicted model, not a curated record. Lineage: Eukaryota; Metazoa; Chordata; Mammalia; Carnivora; Felidae. The transcript is spliced from 3 exons.
CUUAACCGACUGCGCCACCCAGGGACCCCGGGGGAUGCUAGUUUUAAUGCACAGGUCAGUGGAAUUUCUAUCUAACCAACUGGAAGGCAGCCAAACUAAACUGAUCAGAAGACCAUGUUUGAGACUGGUACCACAUUAUCUGGGAUUUUCUCUGCGGCCUAAAAAUCAUUUAUAUUAAAGCAAGAGCUGCAAGCCUCUGAAAGAGUAGGAACAUACUACUUCUGAGGAUGGGGAACAGAAGCAAAAGGCAUAUGCUAUUGUGGGAGGACCAGGAACCCCCAAGUGUUCCUGCCUAAGAUUUCUGAAUUACACAAGUCAGAUUUUCACUACUUUGGACAGGAUAAAUUUUAGCCCAUUGUUGAAAUCUGCAUCUCCCUCAAUUUCUGUGAAGGCUAUGAAGGCUGUGAAAAGUUUCCUUUUAAUGUUAUGUACAGUUUGUGAUUAAAAUAUAAAUGGUUAUUAAUUUGAUAAAGAAUUUAGUUUUAUCAAAUAAAGACUACUACAUGGAAAAGUAAUGUCUCCCAAUUUCUUCUAGUGAUACUUCUUGUGACUCGUGGAAACUGAAGUCUGCAUGUAUUCUAAAUUUUUAAUGUAAAUUUUCUUAUUUAUGGCUUUUACUUUCACUUUCUAAGUUCCCUUCAAAGGAAAGCAAAUUUGUUUGCAUGUUACUUUACUAACUAUAGCUGCUGCUAGAUAAUUGCCACCAUUCGGGGUCAUCAUAUACUGCUCUCUACACUAUGUUGUGGUUGUCUCUGUUUUUAUUUCUGGGAUUAGCAUCUGCUGUGACUAUAAAUGUCAAAAUAGAAAUAUUUAAGAAAAAAGUAAAAAAAAACAUUCUCAACAAAAAUGGGUCAAGACAACACUGACAUUCUCAAGUGGAUAAUUAAGUUAAUUUUCUGGAUCA